This 440-nucleotide ribosomal RNA is filed under the name uncultured bacterium. RNAcentral describes it as "partial 16S ribosomal RNA". It matches the Rfam family "Bacterial small subunit ribosomal RNA", at positions 338 to 795 of the family's 1533-position model. The record is from RNAcentral.
CCUACGGGAGGCAGCAGUAGGGAAUAUUGCUCAAUGGGGGAAACCCUGAAGCAGCAACGCCGCGUGGAGGAUGAAGGUUUUCGGAUUGUAAACUCCUUUUGUUAGAGAAGAUAAUGACGGUAUCUAACGAAUAAGCACCGGCUAACUCCGUGCCAGCAGCCGCGGUAAUACGGAGGGUGCAAGCGUUACUCGGAAUCACUGGGCGUAAAGAGCGCGUAGGCGGGAUAGCAAGUCAGAUGUGAAAUCCUAUGGCUUAACCAUAGAACUGCAUUUGAAACUGUUAUUCUAGAGUAUGGGAGAGGUAGGUGGAAUUCUUGGUGUAGGGGUAAAAUGCGUAGAGAUCAAGAGGAAUACUGAUUGCGAAGGCGACCUGCUAGAACAUAACUGACGCUGAUGCGCGAAAGCGUGGGGAGCAAACAGGAUUAAAUACCCCAGUAGUC